UACGUAGGUGGCGAGCGUUGUCCGGAUUUACUGGGCGUAAAGGGCGUGCAGGCGGUUUGUUAAGUGCAGGGUGAAAGCUCCCAGCUCAACUGGGAGAGGUCCUUGCAUACUGGCGAACUCGAGGGAGGCAGAGGAAAGUGGAAUUCCCGGUGUAGUGGUGAUAUGCGUAGAUAUCGGGAGGAACACCUGUGGCGAAGGCGGCUUUCUGGGCCUUACCUGACGCUGAGACGCGAAAGCGUGGGGAGCGAACCGG
Molecule: ribosomal RNA, 253 nt
Filed under: uncultured bacterium
Lineage: Bacteria
Description: partial 16S ribosomal RNA
Rfam family: Bacterial small subunit ribosomal RNA
Source: RNAcentral